CAGUAGCCACGGUAAUACGAAGGGUGCAAGCGUUAAUCGGAAUUACUGGGCGUAAAGCGCGCGUAGGUGGUUUGGUAAGAUGGAUGUGAAAUCCCCGGGCUCAACCUGGGAACUGCAUCCAUAACUGCCUGACUAGAGUACGGUAGAGGGUGGUGGAAUUUCCUGUGUAGCGGUGAAAUGCGUAGAUAUAGGAAGGAACACCAGUGGCGAAGGCGACCACCUGGACUGAUACUGACACUGAGGUGCGAAAGCGUGGGGAGCAAACAGGAUUAGAUACCCGUGUAGUCCCUGUCUCUUAUAC
RNAcentral lists this ribosomal RNA (301 nucleotides) under uncultured bacterium. RNAcentral's name for it is "partial 16S ribosomal RNA". It matches the Rfam family "Bacterial small subunit ribosomal RNA", at positions 509 to 807 of the family's 1533-position model. The record is from RNAcentral.